AAUUGGAAGCGAUUUUUUUGCCAAUACGCUAAAAACGCUUCCAGCUGGAAGCAUUUUCGUUAUUUUGGCCCAAUCCCAUAAUUUUACAAAAAAAAAGCCUAAUCCAGUAAUUAUUUUAAAAAUCGAGAUUUUUUAUAACGUUUUUGUUAUUUCGGCCCAACCAUGUAAUUUUACAAAAAAAAAAACCAACCCAAUCUAGUUAUUAUUUUAAAAAAAUCAAGAUUUUUCAUAAAUUAACUCGUAUGAGACGGCCUUCCAAUACCUUUCUUUUAUUCUGAUUCUUUUCUAUUAUUUAUUUUUGCCUACGCAAUAUUACGUCAGGCCCCUUUCAAUUUUCAUUUUUCUAUUUUUAAUUAAUCUUUGUUAAACCUUUAAUCUAAAUUUCCUAUUUAGCUUUAGGUCGAUAGCCAAUCAGGUAGAGACUCGUGAGAUCCUAAACCGCACCUAAAAACUUUCAUAUUGGUAUUUGUUACUUCUUCAAUUUAAGAGAUAGACAUCGUCAUCUCAUAAAGUUGUAUUGACACUGUACAGCCCAAUUUUGGGCCCAAACUAAAAAACCCUAAGCCCAAUUACAGCCCAUAACCUAAACAGAGAACAGAAACCCUAGGAGCCGCCUCUGCCCCCUGUCCCAUCGCACCAUGCCUGCUCCACCGCCCUUGUCAGCCACCUGCUCCUCAACUUGCUCCAAUCGCCUGCACGAAGAAAGAUAGCAAAUAAAUGUUGUAACAAAUCGGCUAUAAAGCCGAAUAGAAACCAAUGUAAAAAGGGGGGCCUUUUCUUGAAAAAAAGAAUAAAAAAAAAGAUCUAUCAAUAACAGAGAUUAAUCAAAGAAACAUUUCAAAGGUUUCAUUUUUUUCUAUCUUCGUUAUCUAUUUUUUUUUCGAAUCUAUCGCAUAAACGUAUACAAAAGGGAAAGUUUUACCGGGAUUCGGCGUUGAUACCCUUGGCACACGCUUUUCUGGUUCGAAAGAUGACGGAUCCCUAGAGAUCCGGUUAAAGCUUCGACGGAAGAAGCCAAAAGUCAAGGCGUUUUCGUUGUUUUAAGAGGCUUUGGGGUUUAGUUUAUGGUUUUCUAAGUCUUAAAUCUUCUUCUAUGUAAAAAAGGGGUUCAAAGGAGGGAGUUUUGAGCUUCCAGGCCACCGCGUACGGCCACGACGACCAUUGACCGGAGCUAGGUCGGAGACUGAGAGGGGGAGAGAAUUUCAAAGCUUCAUUCUUUUUUUUUCUGAAGUAAGAAAGAAAUGAAUUUUUUUAAAAAAAAAUGGUUUAAAUAACCUUAGUGAAACGACACCGUUUCACUUAGGCCCCCAUAGUAUAAAACGGCGCCGUUUCAAUGAAGUGACCCGAUGACCCGACCCGGCCAACAGAGGAUCCGCGUCUUUCUGCUAAGCGGGAUAAUCGCGCGCGUAGUCCUUCCGCAUUUUUGUUUCUUUUAAUUUAAUCCCUUUUUAUUUUCCUUUUGUUUUUAGAUUUUUCCUUAGAUUUUGCGCACUUUUCAAAUUGGUCCACGUUAAAACGUUUCGUUUCGGGGUUUGGUUUAUUUUCAUUUUUCAUUCCUAUUAGUUUAUGCGCGCCCUAUUUUAGUCCCUAAUAGCUUCUAUUAUUUACGAUUUUUAUCCCGCAAUUUUACUUUGAUUUUAAUUCUGUCCUCAAACUCUUACUUUAAAUCGUUUUGUUAUAUUAUUUUAAAUAUCAUUUAUUUUAGGCUUUUGUGUGCAAUAUUUAUUUUAAACUUUUACAUUGUAUAUAUUUUGAAUUUGUC
Molecule: long non-coding RNA, 1762 nt
Filed under: Gossypium barbadense (sea-island cotton)
Lineage: Eukaryota; Viridiplantae; Streptophyta; Magnoliopsida; Malvales; Malvaceae
Description: long non-coding RNA (GBAR_LNC006196)
Source: RNAcentral